This is a long non-coding RNA of Equus quagga, 427 nucleotides long. RefSeq lists it as uncharacterized. The transcript is spliced from 3 exons. The record is from RefSeq and is a predicted model, not a curated record. Lineage: Eukaryota; Metazoa; Chordata; Mammalia; Perissodactyla; Equidae.
CAAGUUCAUCCUUAUUCAUCCAGAGAAUCCUGGGCAUAAAGGGGCCUCAAGAAGCUGUCAAGUCCGUUCCCCUGUCUCUGAGGUCUGGGCUUCCUGGAGCUGGCCAGGUGGAGCUCUCAGAGGCCAGGGCCCUGCCUGAACCAUCCCUAGAUCCUGCUGCAGGGCCUAGCUUGAAGCCUGGGAACAGACCCAGCACCAGGAUUAAAAGGCAUCAGGUCCCAGGAUGGACACACCUCUCCCUGCUCUUUCCGCAACAGAGACAGGAAGGUGGUAUUGGCAAACUUCUCCCAAAGACGUGGUGGCUCACCCAGGAGAGCAGCCCCUGGCAGGCGGGGUCCCAGGUCUGGAGAGGUCUGGAGAGGUUGGCAGGACCAGGGAUUCCCAAACGCUUCAAGCAGCAGAAGCCUCAUAGAAGACCAAAGUCCGC